This 526-nucleotide ribosomal RNA is filed under the name Hysterangium sp. src642. Its description in RNAcentral is "eukaryotic LSU rRNA". The stretch from base 165 to 319 matches the Rfam family "5.8S ribosomal RNA". The record is from RNAcentral. Lineage: Eukaryota; Fungi; Basidiomycota; Agaricomycetes; Hysterangiales; Hysterangiaceae.
AGGAUCAUUAACGAAUGAACGCGUCUCUUCGAAAGGGAGCGCGUAACNACACACACACCUGUGNCACCUGGCGGACGUCUAUCUAGGCGUUCACUACUACUACAACGAUGCCUGUCGACCGAGCAUGUCUAUAGAGGCUCUACGGAGCGCGAUAAAAUUAAUACAACUUUCAACANCGGAUCUCUUGGCUUUCGCAUCGAUGAAGAACGCCGCGAAAGUGCGAAACGUAAUGUGAAUUGCAGAAUUCAGUGAAUCAUCGAAUCUUUGAACGCAUCUUGCGCUCCUUGGUAUUCCGAGGAGCAUGCCUGUUUGAGUGUCGUGAAGUCUCUCGAGUCUCCGGUCUUGUUUUGACUUGGAGGGGUCGGAUUUGGACGUUUUGCCGUGUCUUCACGGCUCGUCUCGAAAUGCAUUAGCCCGUUUCUCACACGGAACAACGGUGUGAUAAGAAAAAAACUCNCUCGCGUCCGGAGGGGGAACGGCUCACAGUCGUCUUUUGAAGACAAACGCAACACGUCGUCUGACCUCA